UCUCCACAGUCCCUGAACACACUGACUCUAAACAUGGAAUGGAGCUGGAUCUUUCUCUUCCUCCUGUCAGGAACUGCAGGUGUCCACUCCCAGGUCCAGCUACAACAAUCUGGACCUGAGCUUGUAAAGCCUGGGGCUUCAGUGAAGAUGUCCUGCAAGGCUUCUGGAUACACCUUCACUGACUAUGCUACGCACUGGGUGAAGCAGAAGCCUGGGCAGGGCCUUGAGUGGAUUGGAUAUAUUAUUCCUUACAAUGAUGGUACAAAGUACAAUGAGAAGUUCAAAGGCAAGGCCACACUGACUUCAGACAAAUCCUCCAGCACUGCCUACAUGCAGCUCAGCAGCCUGACAUCUCAGGACUCUGCGGUCUAUUACUGUGCAAGACACAGUGUUGUAACCACAUCCCGAAUGUGUCAGAAACCCCCAACGUGUAGGAACCUGCCCUGGGACUUAGAUAACAGAAAGCCUGACUUUUAG
This is a non-coding RNA of Mus caroli (Ryukyu mouse), 477 nucleotides long. NCBI's taxonomy places the organism in Eukaryota, Metazoa, Chordata, Mammalia, Rodentia, Muridae. The record is from the annotation of a RefSeq genome assembly.